AGCAGUUUUCUCAAGUAUAUCUCAUGGUGCUCAUGAAGAGUCUUCCUAUUUAAUGAGUCGUAUAUGCAUAGCGAUUUACCGUCGAAAUAACUGCAUACCCAGUGCCCGUCUAGUCCUGUAUUACCGCUAUGCAGUAUUUGAACAUGCUUUUCAUUCGAUGAAACCGGCUUAAUUGUGUUUGGCAUUUGAACUCGCCACGUUUCUUGAGGCAAAAAUGUUGAAUAUUUUUCAAUUAAGUGAUUCAAGUGAUCCAUAUGUACGUCAGUCAACCACCCACCAGAUGUUAUUAUAUCUUUGGACGUAGCAUCCAACUUCGGUGUAAGACGAAACACGCUUUUUCGAUUUUCAAGUGCUAUCUUCUCUCUAUUUUUAUUAACAGAUGAAACUUGAGUUGUGAGACAAAUCUUAUCACUAACUAGCUGAUUGUCGUCACGAUUAGACAAGGGAAGAACAGUUACCGAUACCGAUUCAGUGCGGUUGCUGACUUCUUUUGCUGCUUGUUUUGAAACUUCAGCACGUCCUUUUAUUGUGCCGCUUCGCGAAUUUGUCUGCAGAUGGAAUUUGAGGCUUAGGAGAAGAGAUGCCUUUGACUGCUGAAACGCUAUUCGUUCCGUCCGUACAUGGAAACGGUUGGAUUUCAUUAUUUUCGAAUAAUUUUAGCAAAUGUGCCCGCAAAAGGGUUGCAUGAUAUGUUACCCGGUCAGGUUUUUCCCCAUUUAGAAUGGAAAUAGCAAAAGCGAUCGCAAAUACUCCACAAUCAGACCUAUUGUGCUGCCGCUGAACUGUAGGAAAUUGUACAGGAUUCUGUGAGAAGUUGUAGAAGGGAAACAACGCCCUCAAAAGAACCUGUGAUCCUGAUUGGGGAGAGGCUCUUGGUUUGUUGCAAUGGAUCAGGUUCUGACGAAUCGUUCUACAUCUGUACGCUAUUGGGAAGAAGGAAGGUGUUGGUUAUGAUUUGAACUAUGAGGAAAAGAGUUAGUAAUACGACUGACUCAUGAACACUUGUUGGAUUCUUUGACUUUGAUGUGCUGAUAGGAAAUAGUCACAUGGUAGUUGUGAUGAAUCGAUGCAGUAAGUACUAAUGAAAGACGAAGGUCGUAGUUGGCUUACCGAGAACUCCCUAGUGCAUGGUCGGGAUUUCACCUUGCGGCGGACUUUGUUGGAUGUGGACUUUCUUCAAUUGCAUUGUCUUCCGCUGGUCCGGGUUCUUGGAUCUUUGUUGAGCGAGUGGGAUUGAAGAGAAGCUUUGCGUUCGUUACGUUUCUGGAAAGGUACCUUCUCUCACGGAUUUGCAUAGGUGGUGCCGACGAGUUUGUGGGUGUCGGUACACCCAUUCUAAAAUUAUAAUAGAUAAUCAAGACGCAUCAUUGCAAUAAAUAAUAAUUAUAACAGCAGUAAUGAUUUUAUGGCGCAGAAAAUGCCAGUUCAUUGCAAUAUAUUUUUAAAGCGCAAUAUUGAUUCAAUCCUCAACAUUCACACCUCAUUUACACAUGUACAUAAAUAACGUAUCAUUCAAAUUUCUAGCGUCAAGGCAAAUACGAAUUUUUCUGUAUUUUUCUCUCACUACUCUUAGUAGGUUACAAUAUGGACUGAUUGAUGGCUCCAUUAUUCCAUUUUUCAACAUAACUCGUAUUUUGGAAGUCACUGAAUCACGAUACGCUAACGGGACUGGAUAAGAUUGACGAACGAAUGGCUUAUCACUUGAUACCUUAAUAUGGUGCUCGUAUCUAUUAGUGCAUGUUGGCUUGUCAGAAAAUGAAGUUCGGUGUUUAAUCAUUAAAUCAAGUAAUGGUUCAGUAUAUUUAAUAUCCUGUAUCAUAAAUUGAGACGCGAUCAUUCGAAAUUUUUUUUUUUUAAAUUAUGAUCUUCUGCAUCAUCAUCUUGUUGAAUGUUCAUCUGUUAAGUUGGUACUUAUCGGUAAAUCAUCAGGAAUACUGUUCGAGUUAUUAAGGUUUUGAAUUGAAUCUCCAUCUUUAUCAUCAUUAAAAUUUUGAGCAUUCUCAAUUAUAUCAAGAAUUUGACACAUUGUUUUAGGAAUAUCAUCAUCAAUAUUUGAAUUGCACAGAAUAUUAUCAUCGUUCAGAAUAACAUCGUCUCUACUACGCAUGUCAUCCACAUAAUCAACAAUUACCUCCACAUUAUAAUCGAUUUUAUUAAUUAUAACAUCAUCUUUCUUAUGAAUGUUAUUUCAAUUACGAUUACUUUCAUUAAUUAUAACAUCAUCUUCACUGAGCAUGUUAUUCUUAUUAUCAAUUCCAAUAAUCAAUUCAACAACUGUUUAUCAUGCACAAUAAAAUUUCCAUCCCGUUCAGACAUAGAAUUUAAUUCACCUUUUAUCACCCGACAGUUCUUAUAAUUAUUUGGUUUACUAUUCAUAUUUGAUUGAUCAUUACUGACAAUUGUAUAUACGUGACUGCAUCUUCAUAAGAGGACUUUAAUCGAUCUACUGAUCCUCGACUGUACGAAACAAGACGAUCAUCUGCACGUGAGCCAUGAAUUUCAAUAGUUUUAUCAUUGUAAUCCAAUAUAACAUUAUUCACUGUCAACCAAUCAUUCCCUAAUAUAACACUUGACGAUGAUUUAGGCAUCACCAAAAAUGCAUAAGUCAUUCUUUUACCAUCUAUAUGUUACGUCGGUAAACGCUGCCACCAAUUUGUUACGUGGGUAAAAGGUUCACCGGCGUUAUUAUUUAGGUUCGUUCUCGUUUUAUGCAACUAAAUGCAACUGCAGGAAAGGUUUCGAAGUGAUGAAGGUGAUUGACAGUUUGUAGAUGAUUAUGAUGCGAAGUAUAUUUAUUUGCCAAGCUCGGGGAGGCUUACAGGCGUCAUCAGACGUGUUUAAGUCUUGAAGAGUAAUAAUUAUUAUUGACCAGGCUCGGGGAGGCUUACAGGUGUGUUCAAUGAAUAUUUGUAGAGUGACCGAUCCAGGAUUUCGGUGUGUGACUAAGGAACUAUGUCCUGGAAAACCGUACUGUUUGGUUCUAAGUUCAGAAGUGAUUUUGAUAUAAAGAUUAGGAAUAAGGUAAGUUCGGUUUAUGAAAAGAGGGGCUAGGUGGAGUGGGAGUGCACGUGUAGCUGACAGGGUGCAAAUCGGGAAGUCAUUGCACUUGCAUGUCAUGCUGAUGCAAGGUCGAGCAAUGACCGGUGGCAAUUGAAAUAGUAAGGCAGGAAAAAGGAUAUCGGGUUGCAUCCGGUAGAAUUGGUGGCAAUACUUGAUAUGUAUUCGGAAUUGCUAAGAAUGGUUGGGCGAGACGUUUGGACCGAGGUCCGGACGUAACAUAUAUACAUAUCCGCUAAAAUUUGUUUCUUGAUGCUGACUGCAGUUUUUCCAAAUGCAGGAAAUACUCUUACAUUGGUUACCGGUAAUUCAGCGAAAAUAUUGCAACGCGAGAUUUUAUUAUAUAGGGUCUCUGAAAUGCAAGUGAUUUCCUGAAUCGACUAAGGCUUGGACUAAAAUUCCCCCGAUAACUACUGACAAAUGCGGACAUUUUGGAAUUG
This is a long non-coding RNA of Athalia rosae (coleseed sawfly), 3497 nucleotides long. RefSeq lists it as uncharacterized. NCBI's taxonomy places the organism in Eukaryota, Metazoa, Arthropoda, Insecta, Hymenoptera, Athaliidae. The transcript is spliced from 3 exons. The record is from RefSeq and is a predicted model, not a curated record.